GAGGAUAUAGCUCAGUGGUAGAGAGCUUGCUUAGCAUGCAUUAAGUCUUGGGUUCAACCCCCAGUACCUCU
RNAcentral lists this transfer RNA (71 nucleotides) under Camelus bactrianus (Bactrian camel). It matches the Rfam family "tRNA". From Rfam's summary of the family: Transfer RNA (tRNA) molecules are approximately 80 nucleotides in length. Their secondary structure includes four short double-helical elements and three loops (D, anti-codon, and T loops). The record is from Rfam by way of RNAcentral. RNAcentral also lists the same sequence under 2 other names. Lineage: Eukaryota; Metazoa; Chordata; Mammalia; Artiodactyla; Camelidae.